This 561-nucleotide ribosomal RNA is filed under the name uncultured archaeon. Its description in RNAcentral is "bacterial SSU rRNA". It matches the Rfam family "Bacterial small subunit ribosomal RNA", at positions 374 to 931 of the family's 1533-position model. The record is from RNAcentral.
GGCGAAGCUGAUCAUCCAUGCCGCGUGAGUGAAGAAGGCCUUCGGGUUGUAAAGCUCUUUCGGUGGGGACGAAAUGGUUUGUGCUAAUACCACGAACUGAUGACGGUACCCGAAGAAGAAGCACCGGCUAACUACGUGCCAGCAGCCGCGGUAAUACGUAGGGUGCAGGCGUUAAUCGGAAUUACUGGGCGUAAAGCGUGCGCAGGCGGUUUGCUAAGACAGAUGUGAAAUCCCCGGGCUUAACCUGGGAACUGCAUUUGUGACUGUAUGGCUGGAGUACGGUAGAGGGGAGUGGAAUUCCGCGUGUAGCAGUGAAAUGCGUAGAUAUGCGGAGGAACACCGAUGGCGAAGGCAGCUCCCUGGACCUGUACUGACGCUCAUGCACGAAAGCGUGGGGAGCAAACAGGAUUAGAUACCCUGGUAGUCCACGCCCUAAACGAUGUCAACUGGUUGUUGGGAGGGUUUCUUCUCAGUAACGAAGCUAACGCGUGAAGUUGACCGACUGGGGAGUACGGCCGCAAGGUUGAAACUCAGAGGAAUUGACGGGGAACCGCACAAGCG